GCCAACUAUUGGUUGAUUGCUUGUUUCUUCAUUAACCUAUAGCUGAGCUAGCUAGUCGAUCAUUGCCCAAGCUUCACAAAUAUGAACAAACUUUUUGAGAUAGCCACAUCAUAUCAGAGCCUCUAUCUCAUCCUUUACUUGAAUACAAUCAUCUAUGUCAUGUUUGUGAUCAUGGUGAAACCAACAAUACUUCUUGCAGUCAUAUGAUACCAAU
This 214-nucleotide long non-coding RNA is filed under the name Elaeis guineensis (African oil palm). Its description in RNAcentral is "long non-coding RNA (EGUI_LNC071219)". The record is from RNAcentral. Lineage: Eukaryota; Viridiplantae; Streptophyta; Magnoliopsida; Arecales; Arecaceae.